UUUAUUUCUUUUAUUCCUUUUUUUAUUCUUUUGUUCUUGCUUUAGAGAAAGAUUUCAAAUAAGAGAUAAGAUAGGUUUUGUUUGGGUCCACUCCCAGGAAAGAGAGGUGCGUCACAAUGGACAACUUAAGUACCAAAUCUUUCCUAGUCAGAGUAUAUUCAAACUAGACUCAUGUAUUUCUCAAGAGAAAUUCUUAAUUAAAGCAAGAACAAAGAUUUUGCUAACAAAAAGGAUAACUAAAAGCUACAAAAUAAUUCAAACUAAAUUAAAUGCAUAUGCGUUAAAAAAAUAAAAACAAAUGAAAAUUAAGAAAAAUAAAAGUAAAAAAUGAGAAUCAAAAUAUUCAAAAUACUUAUGGUAGUUCCCCGGCAACGGCGCCAAAUUUGAUAAGCUGUCAUGGAGCUAUCAAAUUAAUACUACUUUU
RNAcentral lists this long non-coding RNA (424 nucleotides) under Vigna radiata. RNAcentral describes it as "long non-coding RNA (VRAD_LNC002888)". Lineage: Eukaryota; Viridiplantae; Streptophyta; Magnoliopsida; Fabales; Fabaceae. The record is from RNAcentral.